AACAGGAUUAGAUACCCUGGUAGUCCACGCUGUAAACGAUGUCGACUUGGAGGUUGUGCCCUUGAGGCGUGGCUUCCGGAGCUAACGCGUUAAGUCGACCGCCUGGGGAGUACGGCCGCAAGGUUAAAACUCAAAUGAAUUGACGGGGGCCCGCACAAGCGGUGGAGCAUGUGGUUUAAUUCGAUGCAACGCGAAGAACCUUACCUACUCUUGACAUCCAGAGAAUUUGCUAGAGAUAGCUUAGUGCCUUCGGGAACUCUGAGACAGGUGCUGCAUGGCUGUCGUCAGCUCGUGUUGUGAAAUGUUGGGUUAAGUCCCGCAACGAGCGCAACCCUUAUCCUUUGUUGCCAGCACGUAAUGGUGGGAACUCAAAGGAGACUGCCGGUGAUAAACCGGAGGAAGGUGGGGAUGACGUCAAGUCAUCAUGGCCCUUACGAGUAGGGCUACACACGUGCUACAAUGGCAUAUACAAAGAGAAGCGAACUCGCGAGAGCAAGCGGACCUCAUAAAGUAUGUCGUAGUCCGGAUUGGAGUCUGCAACUCGACUCCAUGAAGUCGGAAUCGCUAGUAAUCGUAGAUCAGAAUGCUACGGUGAAUACGUUCCCGGGCCUUGUACACACCGCCCGUCACACCGUGGGAGUGGGUUGCAAAAGAAGUAGGUAGCUUAACCUUCGGGAGGGCGCUUACCACUUUGUGAUUCAUGACUGGGGUGAAGUCGUAACAAGGUAACC
RNAcentral lists this ribosomal RNA (731 nucleotides) under uncultured bacterium. Its description in RNAcentral is "bacterial SSU rRNA". It matches the Rfam family "Bacterial small subunit ribosomal RNA", at positions 771 to 1501 of the family's 1533-position model. The record is from RNAcentral.